UACCUGGUUGAUCCUGCCAGUAGUCAUAUGCGUUGUCUCAAAGAUUAAGCCAUGCAUGUCUCAGUAUAAGUCUUUAUAUGGCGAAACUGCGAAUGGCUCAUUAAAACAGUUAUAGUUUACAUGAUUGUCAACUGUUAUACGGAUAACUGUGGUAAUUCUAGAGCUAACACGUGCAUAAAAACCCGACUUCAAGGAAGGGUUGUAUUUAUUAGAUACAGAACCAAUCCGGCUUGCCGGUUUUUGGAUGAUUCAUGAUAAAUGAACGGAGCGUAUGGCAUGCGCCGACGCUGUGUCAUUCAAGUUUCUGACCUAUCAGCUUCCGACGGUAGGGUAUUGGCCUACCGUGGCCUUGACGGGUAACGGAGAAUUAGGGUUCGAUUCCGGAGAGGGAGCCCGAGAAACGGCUACCACAUCUAAGGAAGGCAGCAGGCGCGCAAAUUACCCAAUCCUGAUACAGGGAGGUAGUGACAAGAAAUAACAAUGUAAGUGCCAACUGGCAUUUUACUAUUGGAAUGAGUAGAAUCUAAAUCUCUUUUCGACUAUCAAUUGGAGGGCAAGUCUGGUGCCAGCAGCCGCGGUAAUUCCAGCUCCAAUAGC
Molecule: ribosomal RNA, 597 nt
Filed under: uncultured marine eukaryote
Lineage: Eukaryota
Description: SSU rRNA
Rfam family: Eukaryotic small subunit ribosomal RNA
Source: RNAcentral